GCCAUUCAAGUUAGAAUUCUGGUUCCGUUACUACAGGUCAUGCCUCAAGCCUCAGACAUCGAUGAAUUGGCCUCUGUCCCACCAUCUCCUUCCUGCCAGAGGAUUGGGGCACGGGAGUGCACCUUCACUUCACUUCUAUAUAUCCUGGACCAUUCCCAAGCUCAUGGCCGAACUACAGCACAGCAAAGAUGAUUUAUUUAGGCUUUUUUUCCCCAGCAUGCCAGGCAACAGCACUGAACAAGUCUCCUUAAGUACUGUUGCUACAUCUCUGACACAGAUACAAACUACCCUAAACUAAUUGACAACAUCAUUUCACGAGCUAUGGGCUAGGGUUGAAACACCUGAGAAUCACCCAACCACCACCAUGACCCCAGAGACACCGCUACUCCUGAGAUACUUGCUGUCCCAGCCCCUCUAUCCAUAGUCUCAGGUACAGGUACCAGCACCCUCUCUUUCAUUCCGGCACAUUUCAUGCCAGGAAACAUUUGGAAGGAUAUAUUAGAGGGCAAGGAUGUUAAUUUGGCUUCCCCCCUGAUAGUGGCUCACGACGUAGUGGAGAAUAAGUCUUUUGCUUGCGGCACUGUUUCAGUAGUAGUUAAGGCUAAGGACCAUAGACUUAGCCGCAAACUCUCUAUCCUAGGUUUUGUCCUUGCCUUUAGUUUUUUACAGGGAUAUAAUUUGCUCCGUAAGCCCGCAUAGGAGAGAGGAACUGGAUCUUUACCUCUACAGGAUAGUGAAAUUGGGUCAGAAAUAUGGUUGCUCUGCAUUUUAUGACUAUCAUUGCUCUUUUUCCGCCAAGACCACCGCUAUUCUGUCUCAGAAAGCCCUAAUUUGUAAUAAUUUUAGAUAUACCACAUAAAAUUACAAUCAAUGUCACUUUCUACAUAUUUCUGCCAAUUGUUAUAGGGCUCACCCCAAGUCCUCCUGUACACUUAAACAGGUAAAGUCCACCUGACUAAGCCACAUUAAUAACCACUACCUGCACGCCUGCUUGGUUACACACCCUUCCCCCAGUCAGCAAACAUGGUGGCAGUGGAUUCCUAACUCCAGUGUGAGCUAGAGAAGGGUUUUGUUAUUGGACCUUUCACUGUACCACCGUUUCACAACUGAAGGGUCAACCCGAUUGGGUUGGUCAAGGAAAAUUUUUCCAAUAAAGUUAGUUUGAUUUA
This is a long non-coding RNA of Bombina bombina (fire-bellied toad), 1169 nucleotides long. RefSeq lists it as uncharacterized. The transcript is spliced from 2 exons. NCBI's taxonomy places the organism in Eukaryota, Metazoa, Chordata, Amphibia, Anura, Bombinatoridae. The record is from RefSeq and is a predicted model, not a curated record.